Peromyscus californicus insignis is the source of this 4579-nucleotide long non-coding RNA. RefSeq lists it as uncharacterized. The transcript has 3 exons. NCBI's taxonomy places the organism in Eukaryota, Metazoa, Chordata, Mammalia, Rodentia, Cricetidae. The record is from RefSeq and is a predicted model, not a curated record.
ACACACACACACACACACACACACACACACACACGAUGGGGCCCGAUCCUUUCAGCAUUUAGGGUAAAAUGAGAGACAGAGAUGAGUAACAAAGGCCUGCUACUAGCACAGACUUCUCUGGGAAGGAGGAAGGUUGGGGUGGGAAUGUCCUCUCUGGUGUGCCAGAUGUGUGCAUUCUUUAUUGGCAGCAGCCUGUCAGUGGCAGGAGGUGCCCUUUUCCAGGUGUGGCCACACAGGUUUGACUUCCCAGCCUCAGGCCAGCCCCUGUGUCUCUCCACCGCGCCUUAACCGGAGCAUCAUCCCAGAAUCCCCUGGUCUGGUCCUGACAGGGAGCCUUCUACACCUGCUCUGACUUCCUUACACCCUCUAAAGUAGAGAGACCCGGAACCAAGCUGCAUUCUCUCCAUCACUGGAGCUGUGGAAGGUUUCAUCCUCUUGAAUGCUUAAGCCUGGAGUUGCCCUAUGACAAGAUUCUGGCUGAUAGGAUGGGAGCCAAGGUGAUUGGUCAAAAACUUCUACAAGAAGAAAUGGUUGGUCCUGCGCAUUAUCUUUUCUCCUGGAAAGUGCAGGUGGUACUGGUGAAUUGGAAGAUACCCUAGAAGAUGGCAAAGGAAGAGAGAAGGAAGCUCGGCCUUGAACAGCCAGGACUCCUUCCCCAGCCUGGACCAGCUGGCUACUGUGGACUCACGCAAGAGGAGACACACCUCUUCAUCACAGCCUUCUGCUCUUCCCUCAGGCCUUGGCCUGUGUGACAGUUCCCUGGGAAGCAGUCUAGUACCCUCUGUUGACCCUCUGCUUCCUGUGAGUGCUCACCCUGUCCUCACUGGAGCAUCCAUCACAGUGUCCUAUGAAGGCUUUUUCUUAGUUAGGGCUUCUAUGGCUGUGAAGAGACACCAUGACCAUGACAACUCUUUUUUGUUUUGUUUUGGUUUGGUUUCGUUUGGUUUAGUUUUUCGAGACAGGGUUUCUCUGUGUAGUUUUGGUGCCUGUCCUGGAUCUCGCUCUGUAGACCAGGCUGGCCUUGAAGUCGCAGAAAUCCACCUGCCUCUGCCUCCUGAGUGCUGGGAUUAAAGGAGUGCGCCACCACCGCCUGGCCAAUGAUGACAACUGCUAUAAAGGAAAACACUUAAUUGAGGCUGGCUUACAGUUCAGAGGUUCAGUCCAUUGUCCUUGUGGCGGGACAUGGCAGCAUACAGGCGGACAUGGUGCUGGAGAGGUAGCCAAGAGUUUGACAUCCAGAUCCACAGGCAGCAGGAAGAGAGUGAGACACUGGGCCUGGCUUGAGCAUCUGAGACCUCAAAGCCCACCCCCAGUUACACACUUCCUCCAACAAGGCCACACCUACUCCAAAGGCCACACCUCCAAUGAUGCUAUGCCCGAUGAGUCUAUCGGGGUGGGGCGUGCAUUUUCAUUCAAACCACUACAGACUUCACCACUGGUCUGAAACCCCACAAGGCUGGGAGCACCAUGAGUCAGGGACGCAAUCCCAUCUGCCCUCACUUUCUCAGGUUCAAGAAUGCAAUAGGCACUUAAUAGUCGCAGAAUAAACCAGUGGAAGUGCCCCAUGCUUACAAACUGCCUUCCUUCUUUCCUAAAGCGCUUUUACAAGCUCAUCACAGACAAACACAAAAGAAUAAUUCCCAUGCUCCUCUUCCUUCUUCCCAAGGCAUUUGGACCUUUCUCCCUUCUAUGAUGGGUCACAAGAGGGCCCAGAAAGAGAGAGCCCCAGGUUAGGGGUGUAGCUCAAUUGGUAGAGUGCUUGUUUGCAUGCGCAGCGCCCUUGGUUCAGUCCCAGCUCUGUAUAAAACAGGCAUGGUGGCACGUGCCUGCAUUCCCUGCCCUUGGAAUGUAGAGGCAGGAAGAUCAGAAGUUCAAGGUCAUCCUUUACAACAUAUCAAGGUUGAGGCUAGCCUGGGCUACAUAAGACCCUGUUUCAAAAUAAAAAUGUUCGUUCAUUCCACUGCAAUGGGAAGUCUGGUAGGGUUUUGUGGAGUGCAGCAGAAAUUUCCCUCACCAGAUUUGAAACCUAGGCAAAAACCUAGUAUUUUGGUAGAAGAGAAGGAGGAAUGUGUAUGUCAGACUUAACCGGAAGAAGCAUGUGAACUCUACAAUUUGUUUUCCACUACACAUAGCUGUGGGGUCUAUCUCUAACAGGGGCAGGUGUUCAUGAAAGGUUCCUCUGGUCACUGUAGCAGGAGUCAUUUAUCCUCCAAGACCCAAGGUCUUAGCAGCAACAUCUCAGAGUCAGGCUCUGGCCUCCUGCCAGCCUUUCAUUGAAGAUGCUUUCCAAGGCAUUGGCCUUGGCAGCGGCCAGUGGCUAUGCUUUUAAUUAUAGCUUCCUGGUCUUUGCCAGAUCCUCCUUCGGCCAUCUCCGCACACAGCGAAUCUCAUUACGGCUAGUGGGGUCAGAAGAGCAGUCCGUCUGCCACACUGUCCAGCAGCCUCUGGUGUGGAGACUCAAAGCACAGCAGGGUCCACACCCUCAAACUGACCUCCAAACUCGGCUGUCACCUCACGGCUUAGGAGGUGUUAGGAACCAAGGUAGCCCCCUGCCGUAGUGGGGGUGAUUAUUCGCACCAGAAUCCCACACAUUUGUGAGCCUUGUUCUCUACCACCCUGUCCUUGAUGGGCAUCUCUCAGGUUUUCUGCCUGGUGGAAUCCAGGAGGAGGGGAGAUAGGAAGUCUCUCACAGACUGUCUUCAUCAAUUUUCUGAGACUAUAAGAGAAUACCUGAGGCUGAGUAAUUAACGUAGGAAAGAAGUUUACUUAGUUCAUGUUUCUGGAGGUUGGGAAGUCCAAGAACAUGGUGAGAGCCCUGUGUUGCUUUAAAUCCUGGUAGGAAGUGGAAGGGUGAGCAGGCAUGCACCAAAGGGGCAGGCCUGCUUCACAGCAGUCUACUCUUGAGGUAACUGGUCUAGCCCUGAGAGAGAGAACCCAUUCCGGACAGCCAUGCACUCUCUCUCUUUAGGACGUCAGCACCUCUCAAUAAUGCCACUUUGGGAGUGAAUAUUUCAACCGGAUUCCCCAUGAUUCUAGGGAACAUAGUAUUACAGUUUGGAUCUAGAAAAGUGGUUCUCUGUAAGUUCAAGGCCAGCACGCUACAUAAUGAGCUCCGGGCCAUCCAGGGGUGUAUAAUGAGACUCUGCCUCAACAAAGCAAAAAGUCGUGAUGAGACUGACAGAGGCCAUUGCUGAGCACACACUGCAAGCCACGCAAUAUGUUUUUCUCAUCUAGUUCUCACAGUAAUAUGUGUUAUUGUUCCCAUUUUACAGAUGAGGAAGUUAAGACUCAGGUAAGUCAUGUAAUUUUCCCAAGAUGACUUCAAGGCCAUGGAUGUUUGACUCCUCAAUUUCAACCACUGCAGUUUUGUAAGAGGAUAGACUGCCACAGCAGUGGGAAGAAACUUGAGAAAGACUAUAUCCUACACCCACAUUUAAUGGUUCCGAAAAAAGGACUCCCCUAUACUUAGGUAUAAGAAAGGGUCUAGACAGGAAUGAAACAAAUAAAAACAUAAAGUAGGGAGUCUGAACCUUUUCUUUCUGUGUAAUGAGUCUGUUUUUACAACUAUAAAAUUCUAAUUGCUCUAAGUAUCAUAGUUUUGUCAACUUGACACAGACCUAGACACACCUGGGGAGAAGGAGUUUCAACUGAGGAACCACGGGUUGGCCUGUGUGCAUGUCUGGAGCAUUUUGCUUAACUGACUUACCUAUUCACACCAAAUCUUCUAGAACUGGGGAUACAGAUGGUCGUGAGCCACCAUGGUGCUGGGAACCAAACCCAGGUAUUCUGGAAGAGCAGCCAGCAGUGCAUUUAACUACUGAACCAUCUCUCCAGCCCCUGCUCAGUGUUUUAUGACAGCAACAGUAAAUUUCUAGAACAUUAAGUUAAAAACUCCAGAAAUCAUUUCUCCAUAUGAUGUUGACUUCAACAUCUUCUACGAGGUGUAGAUUUGGUAAGGCAUGUUAGCUUCAUGCACUUGGCCUGUGGUGGUUUGAAUGAGAAUGGUCCCCAUAGGCCCCCAUAUAUUUGAAUACUUGGUCACCUGUUGGUAGAGCUGUUUGGGAAGAGGAUAAAGAGGUGUGAUCUUGCUGGAGGAGGUGUGUCAUGGGGCAGGUUUAGAGUUUUUCAAAAAUCCACGCCAUUCCUAAUUGUCUCUCUCUGCCUUGUGAUUGUGGAUUGAAUGUGAGCCCUCAUCCAUUGCUCCAGCACCAUGCCUGCCUGCCUGCUGCCAUACUCCCUGCAGCCCCAAAUUAAACUCUUUCUUCUAUAAAUUGCCUUGGUCAGGGUGUCUUAUCUCAGUGAUAUAAAAGUAACUAAGAAGUGCAGCUACCCAGCCCCGUGCUUAGAAGAGUUUAUCCUUGGUUUCAUUCUCUGCUAAAUGCCAUCUUGAAAUGCUUAAUGAUCCUAAACAAGAGGCUUUGCAUUGUUAUUUAGCCACAGGCCAUGCAGAUUGUACAGCCAAUGCUGCAAUGUAGGAGAGUCAAAAUAAUGCAUAGUGGUGCAUACCUUUAAUCCCAGCACUCGGGAGGCAGGAGGAUCUCUAUGUGUUCAAGUGAUGCCAGCCUGAUCAACCAAGUGA